ACACAUGCAAGUCGAACGGUAGCAGGAAGAAAGCUUGCUUUCUUUGCUGACGAGUGGCGGACGGGUGAGUAAUGCUUGGGAAUCUGGCUUAUGGAGGGGGAUAACUGCGGGAAACUGCAGCUAAUACCGCGUAUUAUCGAGAGAUGAAAGGGUGGGACCUUCGGGCCACCUGCCAUAAGAUGAGCCCAAGUGGGAUUAGGUAGUUGGUGGGGUAAAGGCCUACCAAGCCGACGAUCUCUAGCUGGUCUGAGAGGAUGACCAGCCACACUGGGACUGAGACACGGCCCAGACUCCUACGGGAGGCAGCAGUGGGGAAUAUUGCGCAAUGGGGGGAACCCUGACGCAGCCAUGCCGCGUGAAUGAAGAAGGCCUUCGGGUUGUAAAGUUCUUUCGGUAAUGAGGAAGGGGUAUUAUUGAAUAGAUAAUAUCAUUGACGUUAAUUACAGAAGAAGCACCGGCUAACUCCGUGCCAGCAGCCGCGGUAAUACGGAGGGUGCGAGCGUUAAUCGGAAUAACUGGGCGUAAAGGGCACGCAGGCGGGCUUUUAAGUGAGAUGUGAAAUCCCCGAGCUUAACUUGGGAACUGCAUUUCAGACUGGGAGUCUAGAGUACUUUAGGGAGGGGUAGAAUUCCACGUGUAGCGGUGAAAUGCGUAGAGAUGUGGAGGAAUACCGAAGGCGAAGGCAGCCCCUUGGGAAUGUACUGACGCUCAUGUGCGAAAGCGUGGGGAGCAAACAGGAUUAGAUACCCU
RNAcentral lists this ribosomal RNA (750 nucleotides) under Pasteurella stomatis. Its description in RNAcentral is "bacterial SSU rRNA". It matches the Rfam family "Bacterial small subunit ribosomal RNA", at positions 51 to 788 of the family's 1533-position model. Lineage: Bacteria; Pseudomonadati; Pseudomonadota; Gammaproteobacteria; Pasteurellales; Pasteurellaceae. The record is from RNAcentral.